This is a non-coding RNA of Aegilops tauschii subsp. strangulata, 265 nucleotides long. The record is from RefSeq and is a predicted model, not a curated record. NCBI's taxonomy places the organism in Eukaryota, Viridiplantae, Streptophyta, Magnoliopsida, Poales, Poaceae.
GAAUGGACAUUACUUAUUAGUCUUCACAUUUGAGUUGCAUCAUGCUAACGAGACAUUGCAAAUGAUCUUUAAUUUGGUGCAGCAUAACUCCCGACAAGCAUCGACGUCUGCCACUGGCGCGAGCAAGAACCCCGAUCCUUCACCUACGGGUUGACGAUUUGCUUCAGAUCACGGAAGCUUGGGUUGAUGGAGUGCUUGUCUUUAGUUUUUGUUUUGACUUUGUGAAACUUGCUACCUAUGAUGAAACUGUGUAAUAUUGAUGAAA